GCGUGAAGCCGGAAUUGCUAGUAAUCGCGGAUCAGCAUGCCGCGGUGAAUACGUUCCCGGGCCUUGUACACACCGCCCGUCACACCAUGAGAGUUGGGAAUACCCGAAGCCUGUGAGCUAACGUUAAGAGGCAGCAGUCGAAGGUAGAAUCAAUGAUUGGGGUGAAGUCGUAACAAGGUAAC
This 182-nucleotide ribosomal RNA is filed under the name uncultured bacterium. RNAcentral describes it as "partial 16S ribosomal RNA". It matches the Rfam family "Bacterial small subunit ribosomal RNA", at positions 1318 to 1500 of the family's 1533-position model. The record is from RNAcentral.